RNAcentral lists this small RNA (108 nucleotides) under Escherichia coli. Its description in RNAcentral is "partial RtT sRNA". It matches the Rfam family "RtT RNA", at positions 1 to 103 of the family's 130-position model. Rfam says of the family: This family represents a bacterial cis-regulatory element known as RtT RNA. The exact function of RtT is unknown although it is thought that it may be involved in changing the cellular response in relation to amino acid starvation. RNAcentral also lists the same sequence under 1 other name. Lineage: Bacteria; Pseudomonadati; Pseudomonadota; Gammaproteobacteria; Enterobacterales; Enterobacteriaceae. The record is from RNAcentral.
UUGCAUUUGAAGCCCAUGAGGAUGAGAACCUCCGGGGGCGGGGAGGUUCGACUCGAGCGAAGCGAGAGAACGUUGCGCCAGCAACGGCCCGCAGGGCGAGCCACGAAG